AGUCUCUGCUCUUUCUGUGGGUCUGGCUUGACAUGAGGGUUUUAGGCAGAGAGAUGCUUUUAGAAUUCUCUUCCUAAAUAUACACGCAAAGAAAUGGGUUAAUAACAAUGGCAACAGAAAAGGAGCGAAGGGGUUACUCAGCAUGCGUGACAGCAAAUAAAACGCACAGAAGUCGUUUUCAUAAGCCAGUGGAAGAGGAAGGAACGCCAUUGAGCAGCCACUGGUUGGAACACAAACAAGAUAAGAAUGUGGCGACGGUGACUAAUUUACAAGGAAAGAAGGUAGUUUCAUUUCUGUCCAGCAGGGAGGAAGCUGCAGGUAGGAGAGGCAACCUUUUCAAAUCUCGUGGAGGUUUGUUAGUUAUGUGACAUUCUGGAAGAACUUGCAGGCCUCAGGUACCCUGAGCAGAUACUUGGCUCGAAUAGUUGAAGAACAAGCAUCAUUUGCAUAUUGUUUGGAUCUGGAAGGAGCAGCUUCUGGAAGUUGCACUGAGAAAUCAGAAGCCGGAGGUAUGUCUAAUACACUCA
Molecule: long non-coding RNA, 527 nt
Filed under: Mus musculus (house mouse)
Lineage: Eukaryota; Metazoa; Chordata; Mammalia; Rodentia; Muridae
Description: RIKEN cDNA 4930465K09 gene
Source: RNAcentral